This 435-nucleotide ribosomal RNA is filed under the name uncultured bacterium. RNAcentral describes it as "bacterial SSU rRNA". It matches the Rfam family "Bacterial small subunit ribosomal RNA", at positions 28 to 458 of the family's 1533-position model. The record is from RNAcentral.
GACGAACGCUGGCGGCGCGCCUAACACAUGCAAGUCGAACGAGAGAGAGGAAGCUUGCUUCCUCGAUCGAGUGGCGAACGGGUGAGUAACGCGUGAGGAACCUGCCUCAAAGAGGGGGACAACAGUUGGAAACGACUGCUAAUACCGCAUAAGCCCACGGCUCGGCAUCGAGCAGAGGGAAAAGGAGCAAUCCGCUUUGAGAUGGCCUCGCGUCCGAUUAGCUAGUUGGUGAGGUAAUGGCCCACCAAGGCGACGAUCGGCAGCCGGACUGAGAGGUUGAACGGCCACAUUGGGACUGAGACACGGCCCAGACUCCUACGGGAGGCAGCAGUGUGGAAUAUUGCACAAUGGGGGAAACCCUGAUGCAGCGACGCCGCGUGGAGGAAGAAGGUCUUCGGAUUGUAAACUCCUGUUGUUGAGGAAGAUAAUGACGGU